GCGCGCGCGCCUGGGUGUGUGUUGUUAGCUGAUAUCCAUGGCAGCUGCAGUGGCAGGUGUUCCCUUCUUUUCGCCAGGUUUGCAUCCAAGAGAGGGGAGGACAGGGGCAAAAGGAUGCAGGGAGGCUGCUGAUUUCCACUGAAGAGCUAAUUUCCUGUGAGACAUUAACAGUGAUUUAAGAAAAAGAUUCCUGUAACUGUAAUGUCUUACAAUAACAGAAUGCAGGAGAGCACAUAUCAAUGAAGAAAAGACAAAAUGUACUUAUCCAUGAAGCUGAGGUUAAGAAACCAGUGUCUUCAAGAGCCAGGGACAGCACUGGGUCUGUGCAGAGUUGAGAGAUGGUGAUGACAUGUGGUUUCCAGCAUUCCUCGCCCAGUCCAGGGACACUGUGGGUGUGCCCAGCUUAAGUCCAGUCCAGUAACUGGAAAUACAAGCCCAAGUUCUGGAGAGUUUGAGCUGCAG
Molecule: non-coding RNA, 462 nt
Filed under: Pan troglodytes (chimpanzee)
Lineage: Eukaryota; Metazoa; Chordata; Mammalia; Primates; Hominidae
Source: RNAcentral